This is a long non-coding RNA of Cuculus canorus (common cuckoo), 9718 nucleotides long. RefSeq lists it as uncharacterized. NCBI's taxonomy places the organism in Eukaryota, Metazoa, Chordata, Aves, Cuculiformes, Cuculidae. The transcript has 18 exons. The record is from RefSeq and is a predicted model, not a curated record.
AAAGGUGUAAAGAUACCUGUCACUGCUGGGCCAUCCUUCUGCUUGCAAAGACCCCUCAGCCGUCGCCCUGGCUGGGUUAGCUGCGACCCGGGCAGCAGGGACCCAUCGCAAGAGCCCUUCCAGCGGCCGAUUGAAACGCCUGGAUUGAACAAUCCCAUUGUGUUUCAGAUUUUUGCUGAAAGGAUUCUGCUAUUUCAGAGAAUAAAAUGAGGGGAGGGUGAAGAGAGCGCGCACAGAGGAAGGUUGGGGACCACCCUGAACAGUGAGGAUAACAAGAACACCGAGUACCUGCGCUGCUCUUUGUUCAUCACCGUCCACCCCGGACACUGGCUGAGCUCCUAGAACAUAAAACAAUCUGUGGAAGCUGAGAGUUCUGCAAGCAUAUCUGACUGGUGAAUCAACUGAGCUUUUUUGAGGGUGAUGAGAAGAUUCCUGAGAGACUGCUCUCCUACCGACCCUCUCUGGCCAAAGGAGAGGCUUCAGAAACUGAGAGUGGAAGAAUGAAGAGGCUUCUGCCACAGUUCCGGGGCAUAAUUCCAGCAGUGCGUCUCUGCCCAGUGGUCCGUCUCCCGUACGCAGACCGUGCCGGCAGCUCCUGGCACCACGAAGGGCACAGAGGGGACGAUUGCCCAUUGGCAGAUGAGCAGCUCCCUGGCUUCUGCACAUGCAAACAUUUGAAUUUCCUGUUGGCUCAGAGCAAAUGAUUAACGGGAGAAGAGACGUAAAUGGCAAAGUCUUGAUCAAGGGAGCUGCUGUCAGGGCACCAUCGAGAUAAAUUAAGAAAAGAAUGCUCAGGUUUCUGUGAAAGAAGACUAAUGACAUUAAGUCGAGAUGAAAUAGAAAGGAACAGCAUUGCAGGCUGAAAAUCAUAAAAGACCAGCGUGCCCUGACAAGAAGCCGUGAGAAGCUUCCCGAACUGAAGAGCAACUGGAAACACUAAAGAAUUACUUUCUGCAAGUGCCACAUCUUGAAGUUACUCAGAACUGAAGACGACCCAGGCACCAAAUUUACUUCUUGAGACCUGCAGAGAUAAGUGAAGGAAUGUUCUGGAAGCUUCUGGAGCAGCAGCUGUUAGUAGGAGCCCCACAUGCUGCAGGUGUUCUGCAUCUCAGGUGCUAACUCUGCUCAGCGGGGAUCAGCCCCACCCUUAAACCCCAAACAGGAGCACCUGUGGGGAAGGAGCCUGUGGAUAACGGGAGGGUGCGAAGCCUCCCGUCGGGGACUGUUUCUGCAAGCCAGAGAGUCUGUUUCCAGGAUGGGAGGAAGAGCAGUCAGUCCUGGCUGGGAUUAUGAGGAGACUUUACCAGUGAGUGGAAUGGAUUUCUACAAAGAGAGGCUUCUCUGACGUGUUUGCAUCGCAAGUGACAUCUGGCUGACAGGAACUUGGAGAAAUGGGAUACGAAGUGAAUGCUGCAGUUACCACAGCAUCAUAUUUAUCAGGAGGCUUAAGUUCCAUCGUCCAACGCGCUGCGCUGCUCCGUUCAUCAGAGGGAAACACAUCGUAUGUGGACGCAAAGGACAGAUACGGGUCCCUACAUUUCCCAUCGGUGGAUAUGGAGAACAGUUGGGCACAGCAGCUACAUCGGCUCUGAAACACACCUUGAGCAAAGGAUUCCAGCCAAGCUCUGCAGAUCUAGAGUGGAGGCCAUCGUUAGUCCAGUCUGAUACCUGAUGUAUUACUUCAGCAGAAAAUUCAACAAGGCCAAGAUGUCUUCAUUUUCCUCGGGAGCACGAGCCGUAAGAGCAGUGCGGUGGAAGUAUUGGUCUUCCGUGGCCAGCCGGCGAGAGCCCAUCGACAGCUGUGAUGAGCAGAGCAGACACGGGGAGACAGGAGGCAGCUGAAGCCAAAGAGGACCCACGCCUGGAGCCGCGCGUGUGUGAUUGGAGCAGAGAGAGGCCAGGACCCAAGGAAAUCCCAGCAGCAAGGGAAAAAAACAGAUUGACUCUCAGUGACUCAUUUAGCUCCUGGAUUGGACAGAUCUCUCCCCUGCUGGCAAUUUGGCUGAGCAUCAAUGGACAGAUACCAGGAUGAAUAGCUUAAAAUAAUUAGGGGUUGGGAAUCUGCAAAACUGCUAGCCAUCCAAUUCUUUACUGUGCGAUGCGAGGCACAAAAAAGAAAUUACAUUUAGGUUAUUAAAUAUUAAGUCAGUGGAUUUACCUCCAUUUGGUCCAGAACAGGAAACUGGCUACAAUUCAACAUUUAUAUCAUUGUGUUGAUGGCCUGUUUAUCGCUGAACCAGUGAGUGCCUUCUGGCAGGUCAAGCUCUCAGACACAUUGGGGCGAAUGUGUGUUUAAUUUCUCCCAAACAGAAGAAUUAAUGUAAUAAUAAUUAACACAGAUGAGAACAGAAUUAAAAUCAAGUACAGUCAAGAGUUCAGUUUAAUGCCAGGCGUCUCCCGUUCUGGAUGUUCUGGGGCCAGAUUCGUUCCUGUUGGAGGUAGCGAGGAUUUUGCCGUUGGCGCUGAUGGAAGCCGGAGCCUUCAAUGCGGAGAGACAAGAUUCCCAAUACUUUCUAUUUAAUGCUCAAACCAGAAGCAACAGGCUCGUUUAGUAUCAGUAAAGGAAAGAAGGGAAAAGAGGGAUUUGACCAAUCGUGUCAACUGAGGCUUCGCGUUUGAAGAAUUUCUUAAACAACUGCUCUCAGAAGAAAGUGCUUCUCGACAGGAAUCAGGUUGCUGCAUACUUGCCGGUGGUGCCCUGGGUGUACGGAUGAGGAUGGUUCCUCUGCCCCUCAGAGAUUUCUUGUCUGCCAGAAGCAUGGGCAAGGCACACCAGGAAAGAAAGCAUUGAACAUAAGAGAAGAGACUUAAGAAGCAGUGGAAGCCCAGGUGUUUCCAGAGCUACCAUGUCUGCACAAGUUCCAGAAAGCUCGUGGUAAAGCAUCUGCCUUCACCUCCCACGCUCGAGCCCAUUAAAGGAUUUGAGGAAAAUUAUUCAGUGCUGUGGGCAACGAAGAAGAGACGUGAACUGUUCACAUCGGGCCUCUAAAAACUGAACAGCGAGGAAGAAGAGCUUUGGGAGCCCACUAAGAGUUAACUGGCUACAUUUCAACUGUCACCAUUGUCUUACAUCUACAUAGAGAGCAGGAGAGCGCCAGAGAGAUGUAACCGUGAUACCAACGUAGCACUAGGUCAGAAGAUCUGAGACCCGUUCAUUUGCAGCACGGCAGCAAUAUGGUUUACAGGGAGGCUUUCUUCUUCGUACUGUCGCCUUAACCCUUGGGAUGUCGCGUUCUGCUCCUGCAGCCCAUGCCUCACGCUGGUUUUGUUCAGACGAGGCCUCAGUCAAACGAUCUGGUCCAGUCUGAAAGGGACGCAGUCCCCGGGCUCCAGAUCCAGCCCAGGAGGGAGGAGAGGACCCGUGUGUAACGAGGGAAUUCACCAUCACAGGGUGGCAGGGAGCAUGUCUUGGUGUCCUCCUCUGGGCUCCCAGGAGGACGUGAACCAGGUGAGCACGGAGGGGAACCAGUGGGUGAGUCCUCUCUCCCAUCGCUGGCUCUGCUCGCUCUCGCUGGCCGGGGCGCCGAGCAGCCACGUGAGCUGUGCUGCCCUUCCUCCAGCACUGCUGCCCUCCUCCUCCUCACCAGCGAAGGCGUGAGGGUCCGUGAUGUUUGUUUGGUGCUUGUGGUGGGAAGGAGAUGCCGGUCACAUCUCGUUUUUUCUGAGGUUAUUCUCCAGCUGAUUCAAUUUCCACCUCACCAGAGUGGUGAGUCCUUGUGGAGCUCUGGAUUGAGGGUGGCUGAAGGUAUUCUGAUCCAAUUCUGCUGAACUGGAACUGAUUCAGUGAAACCAGGUCAGGCCACCGUGUCCCAAGCCCCGCGUGAGCGCCACUCCCGGCCACCUUGGCCGCUCAGCUGAAUCUGCUUGAACACGAGUCCUCGGAGCAGCCUGACAGGCGAGCGGGGCUGGGCUGGGGGUCAGGGUGCAGGAGAGCAGAAGAGAAAGUCAACUUGUAGAGAAAUCAUAAUUUUGGGGAGGUGGUUGAUAUUGGCAUUAAAAUUAAGCAAUUAAACCAGAAGGUUUGCUUUCUAUUCACUGGCCUUGGGCUACAGCUCAGGGAUGGUCCUUGGAAAGAACUAUGGAUGCAAGAAAGGAGGAUGUGGAGCCAGCCUGGUUUGUGCUCUGAACUGUCUCGUACAGAUGUAGGAGGGUUCAGGCUGAGUAAGAGAAGGCUUUUGCUCACCCGAAGGAAGGUGCAGUUAGGGGGGUGGGAUUAAAAUAUGCCCUUGCCAGACAUUUCCCUCAAAGGUUGACAGAAUAAUAGUUACGUUGGGUUUUUUUUCAUAUUAUCAUAAACAUCUUAAAGCAAAAAUUGUUUCAAAACAAAUGUUGGCCAAAAAGGAGCCCACCUCCUUUAACCCCAACACUGACAAUGCCUUUCCCCUUCUCCACAGCUCCUCUGUCAAUCAGUGGAACCAUUAAUUAACCUGAAGGCAGUCCCUGACCCGCAGUGAGCGUGGCAGGAUCCAUACAAAGGGCAGGGGAUGGAGUGGCUGCAAGCUGGUGAAGAUUUGGAUCCCAGAGAAGACGGCCACGAAGGGGCAAGCUUCCCCCCAGCAGCUGCAGGGCCCUGCCGGCACCGCUGCCUCCUGACACAAACGUUCUCCAGCCUGUGUCCAUCGUCCCCAUCACCUGGCUCUUCUCACACUGUCAUCUCAACACGGGGCUGAGGUUCGUCUGUCCAUCGGUGUUCUUGUGGAGAACGGAGAUGGAGCGCAUCCAUGAAGAGGGUGGGACCGCAUCCGUGGAGCAGCACGUUCACUGGUGAGCAGGUUAGAGGAGAAACAGCACUUCGCUACCCAAGGCACAAGGGGUGAGGAGCACAGUGUGGUUGGUGGGGUACAAACAAAUCCUGUGGAGUCCCAAGGUGCUCCCAGAAAGCAGAAAACAUCUAUCCAGCCCUAGGAGGUUUUAUUCAAACUUCUUCCUUAAAGAAUUGGCAAUUUUCCCCUUUAAAUCCUUUUCUUCGCCCCCUCCAUUUUGGUCUCUCUCGUAAACACAGAGGCCAGAAGGCUACGCUUAAAUAAUUCAUCUACAAAUUUGCAAUAUCUUUUUGAACUAUAGCAAUUAAACGGAAAAUAGAAAAAUCAGCUCAGCAUCCUGUUUGGAUGUAAUUAAAGGUAUAAUCUGUUCCAUUUGAAUACUUCAGUGCUUACCCUUCUUAAAACAACAAAUAAGAAUAGUAGCUCAUUUGCAAUAUGUGGGUUUUUUUCAAGGCAGCUAAAAAGACUAACUGAUGAAGCAAGAAUAAUAAUUUUUAAAUGUGGCAUAAGCACAAAAAUAUCUACUACAGCUUUCGAAUGAUUGCUGCAGCUCCCAAGUGUGAUGAGAGUUCAAUAACAAGAGGUAGGAGCUUUAUGGCAAAACGCUGAAGCCUUCCACUAUUUCGUAUCAGCAUCUUGAUGUGGCUGAUAUAAUUACCUAUCAAAUACAUCAGCGCAAUGAAUAUCAGAGGAGAUCCAAAAAGACGUCAGUGGGAUGUGUAUCAGCUCCAUCUUUUAGGAGCUGUUUGAUCUUAAGGGAUUUUUUCAAAGAAUAGAAGACAAAUAGCGCAUUCAUCGCCCCUUUGUUUUCUGUGAGCAGCUGAUGAUUUUACAGCACAAUAAAAUUAGCCUAUUAAUGGCUGGCUGAUGAGUUUUAGCUGGGUUUGGGUUUUCCUCCUACUGGACGUUUUUCCACUACUCAAAGAAACUGAAAUCAGGUGUAAAGUUAAUAUCCGCCUUGUUCAUUUGUUGUUCUGUAAGCAAUCAAGAUUUCCCCAAAUCACAGGGCAAUCUCUUGCCUUUCAAGAACGAGGCCCCGUUCUUUCAAUUUGGUUUAACAAAACAACUGGCAUAAGUUCAAUGGAAGCGAUGAUUAUUCUGAGAGGUUACGGUGAACCACAGAAGCUGUUAGUGAAAAGCUUGCUCGUGAGAUCCCCUAAGAGGAAAAGCCUAUGGAUAUCUCAAAAUGUAAUUAACGGCGUAUUCGAACAGCGCAAGAAAGAAGCGGUGGCUGGUUUGGCGGCAGAGGAACCUGGCUGCGCACGGAGAGCUUCAGCUUACCCAACACCAAAGGAUGCGAUGAGCACCAGAGAGGAGUACUCGCUGCUCACCUGCUCUGUCUGGAGGGCCUCCUUUCCUGCUGCCAACGUCCCUGUGCUCGGCCGCACGGCGCCCUCCCUCAGGGCCCGGGCGCUUUCCAGGAUGGGCCCUUCCUCCAGCGUCAGCCUGUCCCAGGGAUGAAGGCACUGGCCUCUACAGCUUGUCUCGCCUGGCUGAACACACCGUGGUGUGGCCUGAUCGUGCCUCUCCCAUCUCUAAAAGUCUGCAAUUUAUUACUUUUAAUACAGCAGCACUGAGAAGUCUCAUUAAAAAAGCAAAAAUACUCCAGCCCUUGUGGUGCCAGGCCCUCGGCCGCCCUGCAGUGGAUGAGCUGGAGGCAAGCAGAGGGGAAAAAAGGAUCAGGUGCCACCAGGCAAGACUAAGGCUGACAUCCCCAGCUCCCGUCCUAGAUCUUUAGUGCUUCCCCCUUGAAUGGGGAACCCGGCAGCCUCCUGUGUGCCGAAAAAACAUCUCUGUGACCUCAAUGUUGGAACUACAGCUAAAGGAAGCGCAACACCACAACCCGCCUUGUUAAUGAAGACCCACAGAGGAGGGGGAAAAAACAUAUCCUCAGUUGCGUCUGUCUCCAGUCACCAGGGCUUGUUUCAGGCCUUGGGCUCCAAUGUCUGAGCGAUCGCGGGGGCGGAUGGACUGCUGUCAGCCAGGCCGUUGGUGCUGAGGGCUGAGCACUGGCGCUCGUGCUGCCUGCGGGCACCGGGUGCGUACACCAACACGGUUUACCCCCAGCUACCCCACGAGUCUCACUUCAGGAGCAGGACCCAAGCCCUUUCACCGCCCAGAGAACAUCUCUGAGGGAUGGGAACCUGUUUCUAAAUGAAGCAGCGCUUAUCUCAUGCGUGCCACAGGUGUGAUGUCAUCCCCUCUGGCGAAGGAACAAGGAUGUCUACAGCCUCCGCGGUGCAAAAAAGGAACUGAAGUGAACGUGUCUCCGACUUUGUUAAAAUAUGGUGAUAAUUAAGAAAUAUAAUUACCACUACAAAGUUAAUUCCUCUUUGACUCCUUACAAACAAGUUUUUAAUUUGCACCAAAAAUUUACAUUUCAGAUUUCCAGUCAAGCCCACAUGGCUGCGAGCGUGGCGCGGACGCCGGGCAGCGGCUGCGGGGAUCUGCUGGGCUCGGGGCAGGAGCUCCGCGGCGGCCCAGGAGCCUCGCAGGUGAGCAGUCCCCACAGGUAAGCGUUUGCAGUGCUUUACCCUGUCUCGUCUGCUGUACAAGUGAGAAAAUAAUAGCCGUGUCAGGUAAACUUCUGCUUUUUAUUAAAAAAAACAAUCAACCCCCAAACCCAACUUAGAAGGUAAUUGAUUGCUUUCUUCUGGUCUUUUAUUAGUUGUGAUUAAGGAGAUAUAGUAGCUCUGUAUACACAGCUCCAACAAGUCCGGACCUGCACUACGUUAUUGGCUCGCAGCCCUCGACUCGCAGCCCGUUCGCAACAGGAUCGAUCUGAGGGUGAAAAACAUCCCCCGUAGGAAGCAUACGCGUCCCUGCUCACCCAGGAACCCACCGCACUAAGAACGUCGGGGCCUGUAAGUCGCGAGUUCAACUUCCAGCGCUCAGCCCCGACUUGUCGUCGCUCUCAGCGUGUUGGCGGUGAGAGCAGAGUACGGCCAACGCGACAAGCAUUCAUUUUUGAAAGCGAAGGGAAGCUCUUCCCCAAUGAUUAUUUGUGUGACUUCUCGGCAGCGCUAAAUGCAGAGGGUGCAUUUCAGCCUCGGCGGAGCAAACGCAUGUGAUAAAAGGUGAACAACUACACGUUUUUCCUUACAGAUCUCCUGGAAGAGUGAUUUUUUUUUUCACAUAAGGACAAAUCUGAGGGUUUCCAGUCGCCUUCUACCCGCAGCUGCCGUCCCCAUUAGAGGCUGCUCUGCUGCCUGAAAUGCCUCUGGUUUCAAGAGUUUUACCUAAAGCAAGAAUACUACUUAAAUAUGUUCUAUUGUAUAUUCAUAGCUCCAUUAGUCCUCCUCCAAUUUAGCACAUCAAAGCAAAGGCUUCAUCACUUGCAUGUGGAUUAUGCUAACAUGAGUGACAUUUGUAAUCUUAUAGGUCUGCAACUUAAGAAAUGCUUUUAAAGUAAGCUAUUAAAUAGGUAGCUGUGCUUUACAAACGAGUCAUAUAAUAGUUUAUUUAAAGCCGUUAAUGAACUUCAACCUCUACACCACUAAAUGCUAUACUACAUUACUUACUAGAAGUUAUUAACUAUCUUCUUAGCACUUCUGGGUUAUAUUGGACAACCAAAAAUCCGUACAUGUUAGAUUUAAACACUGUACCUUGAGUGCUUAUACGGAGAGAAUAUAAAGACGUGUCUACAGCCUCGCUAAUACUUGAAUUCUAUAUUCAGAUGACUUCAAGUGUCUUUUCAAAGAUAUCGAAGCAGCAGAAUUUGCAGGACUCUACCUACAGACUUUAAUGCCAGAUCAAAAAGCUUAGCAACAUAUUUAAAAAAAUAUCUAAGGGCAUUUAAUUAAAAAGUCAUACAUCGCUUCAGUCAUUUUAUUGCUUUAUAGGCUAUGCAAGGGUUCUUUUGUCUUUCCUCUCUGAUACUGUACAUUACGACAUUUUCUUUUCUCUGCGACAGCCCUAUUUUUCCUCAAGCACUGGAGUGUUAAAAGAAGAAAUUCAGCAGGACCUCCAAUAUAGCAGAGGUCAGGAAGUAGCAUCUGAAAACAAAAAAAAAAUCCUCUGUCGGUUGUUUAGACAGACAAAUCUAUAAAUCAGCUUUUUGUUUAUCGGCAUCACAACAAAAAUAAGCCAAGCUCAUCCCGUAACCAAUUACGGUGAACAGCGAACACCUUCUCAAAAGCAGCAUUGGAAAAGGCAACACACACGUGCUGUAUUCCAGGCGUACGUACGGGGGUUCCUAUCACAGUUCAGUAGUUGUUAAUAUUGAUUUGUUAUUAAUUGCGGCAGAGGCACAUUCCAUUCCCGGUGCCUGCAGUCCCUGACCGAGGGCACACGCUGCCCGGCCGGACUCACGCCUGCAUUCCUGCUCCAAACAGGGGAUUCUUGCUCAGGAUUCUGCUACGGAGCAGCUGACGGGGAAACCCACUGGAUGCAGUGGCUCCCUCUAAGCUCGGAGGAGGCGUUGCUGCUUUGAGUGGCUGCAUUUCACUUAUUUGCUUUCAGGGAACAGAUCAUAUUUGCAGUGUGUUCUCAGAAAUAGGCCGGGAAACAUGGUCUUUUUCUUUCCUUAGGAUUAGCAGUGUUGAAAAGUUAAGUCUUUUACCCCAGCAAACACAACUCGAUGCGGUCCUGACGGGAACAGUUCUUGAGUUCCUUUCUAUGAAUGCUCAAUUCUGGUGCUCAGCGGGAGGCACAGACCUUUUGUGGGGUUCUGUUUUCUUGUUCCUUGACCCCUCGCGGUACAUACACAGCCCCUCCUGCCCUGCGCCCUCAGCCGCACCACACCCUUAACAGGUGAUUCUAAAGAAAGGAACGGGCCCGAAGGAGCCCACGGUACCUGCAGUGGACCAUAAUUCGUGCAAUAUGAAUUAUAAUCCGCUUGCUGUUACCAGAAUUAAGAAUCUCAAUGAAAAAUAAAGAUCAUUUUCAAGUAGUCCUCUGUAUCCUUGCCAAAAGUAACACAGUUAAGUAGUUUAACAGAUUCUUUACUGGCAUGA